RNAcentral lists this ribosomal RNA (253 nucleotides) under uncultured bacterium. Its description in RNAcentral is "partial 16S ribosomal RNA". It matches the Rfam family "Bacterial small subunit ribosomal RNA", at positions 524 to 776 of the family's 1533-position model. The record is from RNAcentral.
UACAGAGGGUGCGAGCGUUAAUCGGAAUUACUGGGCGUAAAGCGUGCGCAGGCGGUUUUGUAAGUCUGUCGUGAAAGCCCCGGGCUCAACCUGGGAAUUGCGAUGGAGACUGCAAGGCUUGAAUCUGGCAGAGGGGGGUAGAAUUCCACGUGUAGCAGUGAAAUGCGUAGAGAUGUGGAGGAACACCGAUGGCGAAGGCAGCCCCCUGGGUCAAGAUUGACGCUCAUGCACGAAAGCGUGGGGAGCAAACAGG